AAGGUGACUGCGUACCUUUUGUAUAAUGGGUCAGCGACUUACUUUCAGUAGCAAGGUUAACCGUAUAGGGGAGCCGUAGAGAAAUCGAGUCUUAACUGGGCGAUCAGUUGCUGGAAGUAGACCCGAAACCGAGCGAUCUAUCCAUGGCCAGGGUGAAGGUUAGGUAACACUGACUGGAGGCCCGAACCCACAUCUGUUGAAAAAGAUGGGGAUGAGCUGUGGAUCGGAGUGAAAGGCUAAUCAAGCUCGGAGAUAGCUGGUUCUCCUCGAAAGCUAUUUAGGUAGCGCCUCAUGUAUCACCCUCGGGGGUAGAGCACUGUUUCGGCUAGGGGGCCAUCCCGGCUUACCAAACCGAUGCAAACUCCGAAUACCGAGGAGUGCAAUCAUGGGAGACACACGGCGGGUGCUAACGUCCGUCGUGGAAAGGGAAACAACCCAGACCGCCAGCUAAGGUCCCUAAAUCUAGAUUAAGUGGGAAACGAUGUGGGAAGGCACAGACAGCUAGGAGGUUGGCUUAGAAGCAGCCACCCUUUAAAGA
RNAcentral lists this ribosomal RNA (538 nucleotides) under Ctenophora environmental sample. RNAcentral's name for it is "partial Bacterial large subunit ribosomal RNA". It matches the Rfam family "Bacterial large subunit ribosomal RNA", at positions 590 to 1129 of the family's 2925-position model. The record is from RNAcentral. Lineage: Eukaryota; Metazoa; Ctenophora.